Long non-coding RNA from Panonychus citri (citrus red mite), 469 nucleotides. RefSeq lists it as uncharacterized. The transcript has 2 exons. The record is from RefSeq and is a predicted model, not a curated record. Lineage: Eukaryota; Metazoa; Arthropoda; Arachnida; Trombidiformes; Tetranychidae.
GUUUGAGUUAAAUGUCUUUUAAUCACCUGAUUUUUAAUUGCUAAAGUUAUAAUGACAAUUGAUUUGAAAUAUUUUUCCAUUUUGUAUAAAAGGAGAUGUUAGUUAAUAGAGAAAAUCAUUCUAACUUUUAAACAAUUAACUGAUUAUCUGAAUUUUGUUAGUGUGUUUAAAUCACUCAACUCAAUCCCAACAAAUAAAAUGGACUCCAAAUCAAUUGUCGUUUAUGUCGCUCUCUUUGCUUCAGCCAUCGCAAUGGCUUUUGCUAACCCAGAGCCCGAACCUGAGCCACAACCAAUUUUAGGCGCUCUUCAGAAUAUCCUUGGUUAAUCAACGUAACAAUUGAAGAAAUAAGAAUAAAAGAAAAUUUUAUUCUGAUUGUAUUUUAAUUGUCGUGAAGAUUAUUAAGUUAAUAGCAACAGUUAUGGAUUAAUAAGAAUACUAAUAAAAUCAAAGCAUUUGAAACAAAUAA